CGCGUAGGCGCCUUCUAAGUCGGACGUGAAAUCCCCGGGCUCAACCCGGGAACUGCGUCCGAUACUGGAAGGCUUGAAUCCGGGAGAGGGAUGCGGAAUUCCAGGUGUAGCGGUGAAAUGCGUAGAUAUCUGGAGGAACACCGGUGGCGAAGGCGGCAUCCUGGACCGGCAUUGACGCUGAGGCGCGAAAGCCAGGGGAGCAAACG
RNAcentral lists this ribosomal RNA (206 nucleotides) under uncultured bacterium. RNAcentral's name for it is "partial 16S ribosomal RNA". It matches the Rfam family "Bacterial small subunit ribosomal RNA", at positions 568 to 774 of the family's 1533-position model. The record is from RNAcentral.